GACGAACCGUGCGAACGUUGUUCGGAAUCACUGGGCUUAAAGGGCGCGUAGGCGGCCGCCCGAGUCCGGGGUGAAAGGUCUCGGCCCAACCGGGACAGGGCCCCGGAUACCGGGCGGCUCGAGGGGGGUAGGGGCGGCCGGAACUUCCGGUGGAGCGGUGAAAUGCGUUGAUAUCGGAAGGAACGCCGGUGGCGAAAGCGGGCCGCUGGACCCCAUUCUGACGCUGAGGCGCGAAAGCCAGGGGAGCGAACGGG
RNAcentral lists this ribosomal RNA (254 nucleotides) under uncultured prokaryote. RNAcentral describes it as "partial 16S ribosomal RNA". It matches the Rfam family "Bacterial small subunit ribosomal RNA", at positions 524 to 776 of the family's 1533-position model. The record is from RNAcentral.